This 103-nucleotide ribosomal RNA is filed under the name Dicliptera chinensis. Its description in RNAcentral is "partial 5.8S ribosomal RNA". The stretch from base 1 to 79 matches the Rfam family "5.8S ribosomal RNA", at positions 78 to 154 of the family's 154-position model. From Rfam's summary of the family: 5.8S ribosomal RNA (5.8S rRNA) is a component of the large subunit of the eukaryotic ribosome. It is transcribed by RNA polymerase I as part of the 45S precursor that also contains 18S and 28S rRNA. Lineage: Eukaryota; Viridiplantae; Streptophyta; Magnoliopsida; Lamiales; Acanthaceae. The record is from RNAcentral.
AAUCCCGUGAACCAUCGAGUUUUUGAACGCAAGUUGCGCCCGAAGCCUUCGGGCCGAGGGCACGCCUGCCUGGGCGUCACGCAUCGCGUCGCCCCCCCCCCCC